AUCCACCCGAGUGUGCGGUUUAUGGAGGGAGCCAUCAAGUGGGUGCGUUGAUUUCCCCUGACUGUUAACCUACUCCCUCCUUUUGUGUCUGAUCUCAAUUUUUACUUUAUCAGUUGGCUAUGAGCUUCCUUUCUUAAUCCCUAAGUUCCUUGCUGAUGUCCGUGCUUGGAGGCUAAAGAUGUAGGCGUAAUUUUUUAUUCUUUAUAAAAUACGUCUACUACUCCUCUUGCUUUCCUGUUUA
This 241-nucleotide unclassified non-coding RNA is filed under the name Hevea brasiliensis (rubber tree). The record is from RNAcentral. Lineage: Eukaryota; Viridiplantae; Streptophyta; Magnoliopsida; Malpighiales; Euphorbiaceae.